Poecilia latipinna (sailfin molly) is the source of this 600-nucleotide long non-coding RNA. RefSeq lists it as uncharacterized. The record is from RefSeq and is a predicted model, not a curated record. The transcript is spliced from 4 exons. NCBI's taxonomy places the organism in Eukaryota, Metazoa, Chordata, Actinopteri, Cyprinodontiformes, Poeciliidae.
UACAGCAUCACCUGUAAUUUAAAAUUUCCCUUCUAGAGAAACAAGAGCCAUCAUUUAAGAAAACAGAUAAUUACCUUUAUGUUGAGACUGUGAGUGUCUUGCCUGCUAACUCUACAUGGAUGAUGUCAAGUUUAUCAUCCGGCAACAGCUCUGAAACAAACCCAUCCUGGGAAGUGAUUGAGAGUAAUAACCACCCAGCUUCUGAUGACUUCUGUAACCAGAAACUCACCGGCAACGUGAGCACAAUAAAUGUAACGGUUGCAGCAAAAUUUAAGUUUUGCUUGACGGACCAAGCUGGGUCCAGGUGCAGUGAGGAACGUUAUGAGGUUCCAAACCUCAAAUUCCAAGCCUCCACAGCUCAUCAAUCUUAUGACGGUCACUUAAUAAUGCCACUGAGAAUCAGCAUAUUGGCUCUGCUCUUGGCUCUGACAAUAAUCUAAUUUGUGCUCGUGUGCUACAUCAAGAGAAAGAAACCCCAAUAUCAGCCUCAGCUUCAGAUGAUCCAGAUGGUUGGACCUAACGACAACGACUACAUCUACAUCAAUUUCAAGGACUUUAAUUACGACAAGAAAUGGGAGUUUCCACGGGAGAACCUGGAGC